ACUUUUGAAUUUAAUUAAAAUUUUAGUAGGAUUUAGUUUUAAUUGAAAUAUAGAGGGUUUAUUAUUGUAAGAGAAUAAAUUUAUUUUAUUUAUAGAGGAUAGUAUAGAGAUAGAAAAUUUUAAAGUAAGUAAAAGAAGAUUUAAUUUUUCGUACCUUGUGUCUCAGGGUUUACUAAAAAAAGUUAAUUAUUUAAUUUUCUCGAAUUAUGAAGAGCUAUGAGUUUAUAUUUUUUAAUGUGGCAUAAUUAUUAUAAAUAGAUUCAUAGAAAUGAAACGUUAGUCGUUUCAUAAUAUAUCUAGUUUCUUAAGAAAUUAAUAUAAUUUAGUAUUCAUUGAAUAUUAUGAUAUUUUUUAAUUUAAAUAUUGAUGGGUAAAAAUAAUUAAAGGGAUGAGCUUUUAAUUAAACUACUAAAAUUUAAUAUUUUAUAAUAAUAAGUAGGAUUAGAAUUUUUCAUUUUUAAAAGGAUGUUAUAGUUAAUUAUUAUAUUGAAAUUAUUUAUAUAAGAUUUAGGUUGUUUAUUAAGAUAAAUUUUUGAAUUAAAGUAGAUUUGAAAUAAUGGUAAAAUUAGUAAAUUUAAAUUGUAGGAAUUUUAAGUUAGGAAAGGUUAUUGUAAGGAAUUCGGCAAUAGAUUUCUCACCUGUUUAGUAAAAACAUGGCUUUUUGUGAAUUGUUUAAGGUCUAACCUGCUCCAUGAUGAAUUAAAUAGCCGCAGUAUUUUGACUGUGCAAAGGUAGCAUAAUCAUUAGUUUUUUAAUUGAAAGCUGGUAUGAAUGGUUGGAUGAGGAAAUAACUGUCUCAUGAUAAUUUGUAUUUAAUUUUAUUUUUGAGUAAAAAAGCUCAAAUUUUAUAUAAAGACGAGAAGACCCUAUAGAGUUUAAUAGGCUAAGAUAUAUAAGGAUUUAGGAUUUAAGUUUUUUGUAUUGAUUCUUAUUUGGUUGGGGUGACAAUAGAAUUGAAUGAACUUCUUCAUGUUUUUACAUUGAUUGAUGAUUAAUUGAUCCUUUUUUAAAGAUUAAAAGAAAAAAUUACCUUAGGGAUAACAGCGUUAUUCUUUCAGAGAGUUCUAAUCGAUGAAAGGGAUUGCGACCUCGAUGUUGGAUUAAAGUUGAUUUUUGGUGCAGAAGCUAGAAUAUUGAGUCUGUUCGACUCUUGAAACUUUACAUGAUCUGAGUUUAAAUCGGCGUGAGCCAGGUUGGUUUCUAUCUUUUAUAGGUCAAAUAUUUUAGUACGAAAGGACCAAAUAUUUAAAUAAAAUUUUAAUUUAUGAAUUAAAGU
This 1276-nucleotide ribosomal RNA is filed under the name Hycleus marcipoli. RNAcentral's name for it is "16S ribosomal RNA". The stretch from base 852 to 1207 matches the Rfam family "Bacterial large subunit ribosomal RNA", at positions 2076 to 2644 of the family's 2925-position model. The record is from RNAcentral. Lineage: Eukaryota; Metazoa; Arthropoda; Insecta; Coleoptera; Meloidae.